Molecule: long non-coding RNA, 1004 nt
Filed under: Homo sapiens (human)
Lineage: Eukaryota; Metazoa; Chordata; Mammalia; Primates; Hominidae
Description: HSALNT0192231
Source: RNAcentral
GCAAUUUGUAGAUCUGAACUCCUGAAUCCAUCACUGACUAGCUUAUAACCUUCGGUGGGCUACUUAACUACUCUAAGCCUUUAUUUACCUCAUUACAAGACAUCAAUAAUGAAAUAACUCUCAUAGAAGUACUUGGGAUUAACUGAGUACGUAUAUACCGUGCCAAGUAAAAUGCACAUAGAAAGUGCAUAUUAACUGAUAGCCAUUUUAGAUAUGAAAAGUACUCAACCUAUGCCUUUGUCUCCUUUUCUCUACCAUAUCAGUAUUUUUGUUUGCAUUCUCAUCAACUCUUGCCUGGUUUCCAUCAAUUGCCUCCUAACCAGCACUUCAAUACAUCUGCCAGGAUGACUUUUCCAAAAGGUAUCAGAAGAGUAACUGGCUCACUGGAUUCCCUCUGCCUAGACUACCCUUCCCCUUAUUUUCAUAUUGCUAAUCCUCUUACCUCAUUCAAGUCUUUUCUCAAAUGUCCUUUAAAUGUGGUCUACCAUGGCCAUCAUAUUUAAAAUGUAAACCCUUAGCCCAUUUAAGAUGUCCAUGAUUUUCUUCUAUUGUACUCUAUUUUUGCUCCUUACCGUAUCUUAUCCACAAGGAUACUAUGUAGUUUACAUAUUCAACUGUCUAACCUUAGUCCUUCUGAGAUAAAAGAAGCUCCACCAUAGAACAGGGAUUCUUCUAUGUUUGUUCAGUGUAGGAUAAUUAACACGUAGUGUAUAUUCUGUAAAUAUUCACUGGAAAAAUAAAUAAAUGCCUUCUUCUUAAGCCAACAGUCACUCUUCUUUCUAAGCCUCAAGGAAAAGUAUAUCUUAAAUAUCUUAUUUUAUAAAAACAUUCAAAUAGGGAAAAUAUAUUUUUAAAAAACAGUAUGAAAAAACUCAUACCAAAAAUAUAUUUGGCUUACUAAACUUAUGAGUUCAAAUAAAUUCUUUAAAAUGAGAGAGACACUUCAGCAUGAACAAAAAGCAAAAUCCCACAGGAGGCCAGAUCACUUAAAGCAAGGAGUUCCA